CCUACGGGAGGCAGCAGUGGGGAAUCUUGCGCAAUGGGCGGAAGCCUGACGCAGCAACGCCGCGUGCGGGAAGAAGGCCUUAGGGUCGUAAACCGCUUUCAGGGGGGACGAAGCUUCCGGGGUUAAUAGCCUACGGGGUGACGGUACUCCCAAAAGAAGGUCCGGCUAACUACGUGCCAGCAGCCGCGGUAAUACGUAGGGACCGAGCGUUGUCCGGAAUCAUUGGGCGUAAAGAGCGUGUAGGCGGCCUAGUAGGUCUCGUGUGAAAUCCCGUGGCUCAACCACGGACACGCACGGGAAACCCCUAGGCUCGAGUCCGGAAGAGGAGAGCGGAAUUCCUGGUGUAGCGGUGAAAUGCGCAGAUAUCAGGAAGAACACCCGUAGCGAAGGCGGCUCUCUGGGACGGUACUGACGCUGAGACGCGAAAGCGUGGGGAGCAAACAGGAUUAGAUACCCUGGUAGUCCACGCCGUAAACGAUGGAUGCUAGGUGUGGGAGGUGUCGACUCCUCCCGUGCCGAAGCUAACGCAUUAAGCAUCCCGCCUGGGGAGUACGGCCGCAAGGCUAAAACUUAAAUGAAUUGACGG
RNAcentral lists this ribosomal RNA (586 nucleotides) under uncultured bacterium. RNAcentral's name for it is "bacterial SSU rRNA". It matches the Rfam family "Bacterial small subunit ribosomal RNA", at positions 338 to 916 of the family's 1533-position model. The record is from RNAcentral.